UACGGAGGGUGCUAGCGUCGUUCGGAAUUACUGGGCGUAAAGGGCGCGUAGGCGGCCGUUUGCGUCGGAUGUGAAAUCCCCAGGCUUAACCUGGGAACUGCAUUCGAGACUGCAUUGCUAGAGUAUGGGAGAGGGAAGUGGAAUUUCCGGUGUAGCGGUGAAAUGCGUAGAUAUCGGAAGGAACAUCAGUGGCGAAAGCGACUUCCUGGACCAAUACUGACGCUCAUGUGCGAAAGCGUGGGGAGCAAACAGG
Molecule: ribosomal RNA, 253 nt
Filed under: uncultured bacterium
Lineage: Bacteria
Description: partial 16S ribosomal RNA
Rfam family: Bacterial small subunit ribosomal RNA
Source: RNAcentral